UACGUAGGGGGCGAGCGUUGUCCGGAUUUAUUGGGCGUAAAGAGCUCGUAGGCGGUUCGAUAAGUCGGACGUGAAAUCUCCACGCUCAACGUGGAGGGGCCGUUCGAUACUGUCGUGACUCGAGUCCGGUAGGGGAGUGUGGAAUUCCCGGUGUAGUGGUGAAAUGCGUAGAUAUCGGGAGGAACACCAGUGGCGAAGGCGGCUUCCUGGCCUGUUCUUGACGCUGAGGCGCGAAAGCCAGGGGAGCAAACGGG
This 254-nucleotide ribosomal RNA is filed under the name uncultured bacterium. Its description in RNAcentral is "partial 16S ribosomal RNA". It matches the Rfam family "Bacterial small subunit ribosomal RNA", at positions 524 to 776 of the family's 1533-position model. The record is from RNAcentral.